UACGGAGGGUGCAAGCGUUAAUCGGAAUUACUGGGCGUAAAGCGCACGCAGGUGGCUGAGUCAGUCGAUUGUGAAAGCCCUGGGCUUAACCUGGGAAUUGCAGUCGAUACUACUCAGCUAGAGUAUGGGAGAGGGUAGUGGAAUUCCCGGUGUAGCGGUGAAAUGCGUAGAUAUCGGGAGGAACAUCAGUGGCGAAGGCGGCUACCUGGCCCAAUACUGACACUCAGGUGCGACAGCGUGGGGAGCGAACAGG
RNAcentral lists this ribosomal RNA (253 nucleotides) under uncultured bacterium. RNAcentral describes it as "partial 16S ribosomal RNA". It matches the Rfam family "Bacterial small subunit ribosomal RNA", at positions 524 to 776 of the family's 1533-position model. The record is from RNAcentral.